RNAcentral lists this ribosomal RNA (601 nucleotides) under uncultured bacterium. Its description in RNAcentral is "bacterial SSU rRNA". It matches the Rfam family "Bacterial small subunit ribosomal RNA", at positions 49 to 645 of the family's 1533-position model. The record is from RNAcentral.
CUACCAUGCAGUCGAGCGAGAUUAUCUCUUCGGAGAUAGUCUAGCGGCGGACGGGUGAGUACACUAGGGUAACCUGCCUUAUAGAGGGGGAUAGCCUUCCGAAAGGAAGAUUAAUACCGCAUAACAUUAAGCUUUCGCAUGAAAGUUUAAUCAAAGGAGUAAUCCGCUAUAAGAUGGACCCGCGGCGCAUUAGCUAGUUGGUGAGGUAACGGCUCACCAAGGCGAUGAUCAGUAGCCGGCCUGAGAGGGUGAUCGGCCACACUGGAACUUAGACACGGUCCAGACUCCUACGGGAGGCAGCAGUGGGGAAUUUUGCGCAAUGGGCGAAAGCCUGACGCAGCAACGCCGCGUGGGUGAUGAAGGUCUUCGGAUCGUAAAACCCUGUCGUCAGGGACGAAGGUUGCAUGUCGAAUAGAUGUGCAACUUGACGGUACCUGGAGAGGAAGCCCCGGCUAACUCUGUGCCAGCAGCCGCGGUAAUACAGAGGGGGCAAGCGUUAUUCGGAAUUAUUGGGCGUAAAGGGCGCGUAGGCGGUGUUUUAAGUGAGAUGUGUAAUCCCCGAGCUCAACUUGGGAACUGCAUCUCAGACUGGAACGCUAGA